UGCCUUAUACAUGCAAGUCGAGCGGACAGAUGGGAGCUUGCUCCCUGAUGUUAGCGGCGGACGGGUGAGUAACACGUGGGUAACCUGCCUGUAAGACUGGGAUAACUCCGGGAAACCGGGGCUAAUACCGGAUGGUUGUUUGAACCGCAUGGUUCAAACAUAAAAGGUGGCUUCGGCUACCACUUACAGAUGGACCCGCGGCGCAUUAGCUAGUUGGUGAGGUAACGGCUCACCAAGGCAACGAUGCGUAGCCGACCUGAGAGGGUGAUCGGCCACACUGGGACUGAGACACGGCCCAGACUCCUACGGGAGGCAGCAGUAGGGAAUCUUCCGCAAUGGACGAAAGUCUGACGGAGCAACGCCGCGUGAGUGAUGAAGGUUUUCGGAUCGUAAAGCUCUGUUGUUAGGGAAGAACAAGUACCGUUCGAAUAGGGCGGUACCUUGACGGUACCUAACCAGAAAGCCACGGCUAACUACGUGCCAGCAGCCGCGGUAAUACGUAGGUGGCAAGCGUUGUCCGGAAUUAUUGGGCGUAAAGGGCUCGCAGGCGGUUUCUUAAGUCUGAUGUGAAAGCCCCCGGCUCAACCGGGGAGGGUCAUUGGAAACUGGGGAACUUGAGUGCAGAAGAGGAGAGUGGAAUUCCACGUGUAGCGGUGAAUUGCGUAGAGAUGUGGAGGAUCAUCUUCUGUUAAUUCGACUCUCUGGUCUGUAACUGACGCUGAGGAGCGAAU
Molecule: ribosomal RNA, 731 nt
Filed under: Bacillus subtilis subsp. subtilis
Lineage: Bacteria; Bacillati; Bacillota; Bacilli; Caryophanales; Bacillaceae
Description: bacterial SSU rRNA
Rfam family: Bacterial small subunit ribosomal RNA
Source: RNAcentral